UUCACCUACGGGGCGCAGCAGUGGGGAAUAUUGGGCAAUGGGGGAAACCCUGACCCAGCAACGCCGCGUGAGGGAAGAAGGUUUUCGGAUCGUAAACCUCUGUCCUUGGUGAAGAGAAGAAGACGGUAGCCAAGGAGGAAGCCCCGGCUAAAUACGUGCCAGCAGCCGCGGUAAUACGUAUGGAGCAAGCGUUAUCCGGAUUUACUGGGUGUAAAGGGAGCGCAGACGGCAAGGCAAGUCUGAUGUGAAAGUCCGAGGCUCAACCUCGGGACUGCAUUGGAAACUGUCUGGCUAGAGUGCAGGAG
RNAcentral lists this ribosomal RNA (305 nucleotides) under uncultured bacterium. RNAcentral describes it as "bacterial SSU rRNA". It matches the Rfam family "Bacterial small subunit ribosomal RNA", at positions 334 to 654 of the family's 1533-position model. The record is from RNAcentral.